AGAGUUUGAUCCUGGCUCAGGACGAACGCUGGCGGCGUGCCUAAUACAUGCAAGUAGAACGCUGAAGAGAGGAGCUUGCUCUUCUUGGAUGAGUUGCGAACGGGUGAGUAACGCGUAGGUAACCUGCCUUGUAGCGGGGGAUAACUAUUGGAAACGAUAGCUAAUACCGCAUAACAAUGGAUGACACAUGUCAUUUAUUUGAAAGGGGCAAUUGCUCCACUACAAGAUGGACCUGCGUUGUAUUAGCUAGUAGGUGAGGUAACGGCUCACCUAGGCGACGAUACAUAGCCGACCUGAGAGGGUGAUCGGCCACACUGGGACUGAGACACGGCCCAGACUCCUACGGGAGGCAGCAGUAGGGAAUCUUCGGCAAUGGGGGCAACCCUGACCGAGCAACGCCGCGUGAGUGAAGAAGGUUUUCGGAUCGUAAAGCUCUGUUGUAAGUCAAGAACGAGUGUGAGAGUGGAAAGUUCACACUGUGACGGUAGCUUACCAGAAAGGGACGGCUAACUACGUGCCAGCAGCCGCGGUAAUACGUAGGUCCCGAGCGUUGUCCGGAUUUAUUGGGCGUAAAGCGAGCGCAGGCGGUUUGAUAAGUCUGAAGUUAAAGGCUGUGGCUCAACCAUAGUUCGCUUUGGAAACUGUCAAACUUGAGUGCAGAAGGGGAGAGUGGAAUUCCAUGUGUAGCGGUGAAAUGCGUAGAUAUAUGGAGGAACACCGGUGGCGAAAGCGGCUCUCUGGUCUGUAACUGACGCUGAGGCUCGAAAGCGUGGGGAGCGAACAGGAUUAGAUACCCUGGUAGUCCACGCCGUAAACGAUGAGUGCUAGGUGUUGGAUCCUUUCCGGGAUUCAGUGCCGCAGCUAACGCAUUAAGCACUCCGCCUGGGGAGUACGACCGCAAGGUUGAAACUCAAAGGAAUUGACGGGGGCCCGCACAAGCGGUGGAGCAUGUGGUUUAAUUCGAAGCAACGCGAAGAACCUUACCAGGUCUUGACAUCCCGAUGCUAUUUCUAGAGAUAGAAAGUUACUUCGGUACAUCGGUGACAGGUGGUGCAUGGUUGUCGUCAGCUCGUGUCGUGAGAUGUUGGGUUAAGUCCCGCAACGAGCGCAACCCCUAUUGUUAGUUGCCAUCAUUCAGUUGGGCACUCUAGCGAGACUGCCGGUAAUAAACCGGAGGAAGGUGGGGAUGACGUCAAAUCAUCAUGCCCCUUAUGACCUGGGCUACACACGUGCUACAAUGGUUGGUACAACGAGUUGCGAGUCGGUGACGGCAAGCUAAUCUCUUAAAGCCAAUCUCAGUUCGGAUUGUAGGCUGCAACUCGCCUACAUGAAGUCGGAAUCGCUAGUAAUCGCGGAUCAGCACGCCGCGGUGAAUACGUUCCCGGGCCUUGUACACACCGCCCGUCACACCACGAGAGUUUGUAACACCCGAUGUCGGUGAGGUAACCUUUUGGAGCCAGCCGCCUAAGGUGGGAUAGAUGAUUGGGGUGAAGUCGUAACAAGGUA
Molecule: ribosomal RNA, 1506 nt
Filed under: metagenome
Description: bacterial SSU rRNA
Rfam family: Bacterial small subunit ribosomal RNA
Source: RNAcentral